AAAAUCAACUGAAGGUCAAUAUGUUUCCAAAAUGGAGUUAUUUGAGUUUGGUCUGGUUUAUGUCUUUAGCACAAGUAAAUAAACUCAACAUAUAUACAUGGAUUGAAACUAUGUACACUAGACGAGGAUUUCGUCUGAAAAAGACUCAUUACUGCCACUCGAAUAAAAUAGUUUUUUUCUGAUUUAGGACAGGUACAUUAUAACAUACAUACAGAGUCUAUAGCGAUGUUAGCAUUUUAGCUGAAUCUCGUUAUUCUUCCUAACCUGGAACAUUGGUGGAACAGUACAACAGAAGAACGAACUGUAAAAAUCAGCUAAAAAAGGCUCAACUCAUCAGAUGGAUAUAAAUAGAAAUACAUCUAACAAAAAAUAAGAGUGGACGUGGCCGGAUACUUAUAUAUCCCAACAGCAAAAUAACACUACAUAUAGAUCUGAGAGUACUCGCAGUUACUGACAGCUAGUUCAAAGUCAGUUAAAACUAAUAAAAAAUCAUGCAUCUAAGACUAAAUAAAACGUUUCUUAUAGAAUGGUUAUAAUAACAUUUUUUCAAUGUUAAGGUUCACAAUUACUAUGAUCAAAAUUGCACCACGA
RNAcentral lists this long non-coding RNA (591 nucleotides) under Mytilus galloprovincialis (Mediterranean mussel). Lineage: Eukaryota; Metazoa; Mollusca; Bivalvia; Mytilida; Mytilidae. The record is from RNAcentral.